RNAcentral lists this ribosomal RNA (301 nucleotides) under uncultured bacterium. RNAcentral describes it as "partial 16S ribosomal RNA". It matches the Rfam family "Bacterial small subunit ribosomal RNA", at positions 509 to 807 of the family's 1533-position model. The record is from RNAcentral.
CAGCCGCCGCGGUAAUACGAAGGGGGCUAGCGUUGUUCGGAUUUACUGGGCGUAAAGCGCACGUAGGCGGAUCCUUAAGCCAGAGGUGAAAUCCCAAGGCUCAACCUUGGAACUGCCUUUGAUACUGGGGAUCUCGAGUUCGGGAGAGGUGAGUGGAACUGCGAGUGUAGAGGUGAAAUUCGUAGAUAUUCGCAAGAACACCAGUGGCGAAGGCGGCUCACUGGCCCGAUACUGACGCUCAUGCACGAAAGCGUGGGGAGCAAACAGGAUUAGAUACCCCAGUAGUCCCUGUCUCUUAUAC